ACGGUCACAGACACUUGCCUCAGCAGCUUCAACUCCACAGGCAUCAGAUUGAUCUCUGUGAUCCAUUUGUCAGCAAGGCAGUAAGAUGAAACAUUACACAGCGUCUGAUCACCGACAUACCAAGAAAUGUGGACAAAAUGAAUAAGAGCACAGAAUCUGCAGCUUUCGUUCAUCUACCUCUCAUUUCUUAGAAUAUGAGUCCACUCUAUCAUUUGACUAUUAGUCAGUGUAGUUGCUUACCACAUCAUGGACAUGAAGAUGUUGGGUAGCAGGAGCCACCAGUACCAGUCCCCCGCGUUGGAGAACACAGCCAUCAAAAGACCCACCAGGAUGCCAUUGUAACCAUACAGCCCAGCAGCUAUUGCACUCCUGAGGUAAAGUGAUUAGAAAAGUGAAAAUAAAAGUGAAAAUACUUCCUGUUGUGCAACGCAAGGUAAAAUCAUCCAGAUAUCAGCAAGUAUGUCCCGCUUUCUCUAUACACUAAUUCCAGUUUAAUUAAAUAUUUUUGUUUAGCAUCAUUGAGCGUUCAAACCUGUUCUGCUGCAGAAUGAGGGCAGAAAUGGUGGCAAAGAGCGUGCCCACAAAGCCAUUGAGAGCCCACCAGUAGUUCUGCAGGAUGAGGCCGGCGAAAAUGAUGAGGCCACUCAGAGGGUUGUUGACGAACAUCACCUGAGCAGCUCCACGCAAAACCCAGUCCAGCAACUGCAGCAAGAAGAACUGCUCUGGAGGAUUGAAAGAGAGAACGGACAGAAUGCUUUGACGUGUUUUCCAGUGAUGCUUAACAGGCUUGUCAUCUUCUCAGGCUCUCAAGUGGCCUUUAAGCCACAAGUUCCUGUCAUGAGGUUAUCAGCGGCACAUAGAUAUCAUACACAUACAGCACAUUCAUCUCUUUCUUGUUAUUGAACGUAGUUGUUCUAAUCUUCGCACAGUUAAUGCAAAAGCGACAUUAAGUGGGCCACUCUCAAAUCUGUGAAUGAGAUCAGGAUACAGUGAAUCUACUGAACUAUCUUGCGAUCAUGAUCAAGAUAUAACUUGUGUUGACUUACUUUCCAUCCAUUUUCCAAAUGGCUGCAUGUCUCCAGAGAAGUAGGAGAUUCCCUUGAGGAAACAGGCUCUGGUCCUCUGCAGGGCUGUGGGUCUCGGCUCCAUCAGGCCCUUCUCCUUCCUGUCCUCCUGGGAGCUAUCAUGCUCAGACGGCGGGGCAGGGUGUGCCAUAAGGGGCUGGAGCUCCUUCACCGUUAGGUGCGGGUGGUGGCAGGACAGGUAGUGCUCAGUGCAGCAGAGGUGGAACAGCCGAUAUUCUUUUGAAUAUCCUGAGAGAAGAAAAGGCAUAUGUCCCAGAAUAGACUCGGGCUACAUGGGCUGCCAGCUUUUCUCGAACGGCACAACUCAGACUUCCACUGGAGGCUUUUAUGCUACCAGACCAGAGAGAAAACCCCACCUCUUCAUCUCCUGUGCUUGAUAU
Long non-coding RNA from Scatophagus argus, 1465 nucleotides. RefSeq lists it as uncharacterized. The record is from RefSeq and is a predicted model, not a curated record. The transcript is spliced from 4 exons. NCBI's taxonomy places the organism in Eukaryota, Metazoa, Chordata, Actinopteri, Scatophagidae.